Molecule: long non-coding RNA, 2142 nt
Filed under: Nasonia vitripennis (jewel wasp)
Lineage: Eukaryota; Metazoa; Arthropoda; Insecta; Hymenoptera; Pteromalidae
Description: uncharacterized LOC116416846
Source: RNAcentral
AUAACCAUGUCGGACGAAACAAAACCUUCUACUGCACCUUCUAUUGCUGCUGUGACGAAGGCAUUGACGGAUGCUCUAAGGAUUGCUAUUUCAUAAGUUACCACUUCUGUUAUAAACCAAUCUGAAUCUACUUCUCAAGCUCAAGCCAAAGCUUCCCCGUUUAAAUAUCAAGAAUAUCGUUUGUCCGACGAAACAGCAGUCAACGAUUAUUUCAAAAGAUUUGAGUGGGCAUUACAACUGAGUAAAAUUUCGGAAGAAGAAUACGGUAAUUUCGCUCGCGUCCAUAUGGGUGCAGAAUUUACUAAUUUUCUGACAAUUCUUGUUGCUCCUGAUACACCAGAAAGUCGCACGUAUCAACAAAUUCGCACUGUUUUAAUUGCACAUUUUGACGUCAACAAAAAUAAAUAUGCAGGAAGUGUUAAGUACCGACAAAUUGUACAGCUACAAAAUGAAUCCAUUGGAGUCAACUCGUCAAACAGCGGAUGAGGUUACCUCUACUUCUAAUAAGAUACAUGCACUAUCUUAUUCAACGACGCGUUUCAAGCAUAAACGGAAUGCUUCGAAUACAUCGCGCAGUGCUUCUUGGGGGCAAGAUCAUGUCGAACAACAAUGUCAGUACGUUUGUUAUGGAUGCGGAGAACGUCACAAACGCAACCUCCAUCUUCGCUUUUUACUUCUGAAAUGCAAAAUUGUAAAGAGCCUGCACAAUAAAUAGACACGUUGGAAUGUUUCAACGCAGUCGAAGAAAUCCACGCUAUUGAUUCUUGUGCUAAGAAAAUGCUUCAAGUGCUUAUUGAAGACAGCAAAUUAAAAACCGAUGUCAAUUCAUUGGCACGUAACUUUCUCCAACAAAAUUAUAGGUCCAAUAAAUAAAAUAUUGUUCAAAGGAAGCAAAAUUUUCGAGAAAAAUUGGUUUUUACAUUUCAGCUUUUUACUUGAGAACCGCUCAACGAAAUUGUUUAAAAUUUUAGCAGCAGAUAUCUUUUUUAUGGUGAAUCACCAAAUAAAAUUUUGAAGCAUUUGACUACAUUGCUUUACAGAUACGAGGAAACAAAAAUUUUCAAAAAAAAUUGAAAUUUGAAAAAUCAAAAAUGAAAGAAAUAAUAUCUCAAGAGCCAUAAGGGUUUGAAAGCUGCCCAAUAAACUUAGCCAAAACACAUGCUCUCUGACGAACUAAGAGGUCGAUCCCGGAUCAAACAAGGAAAAGUAGAUAAUUUUAUUCUCUUUCAAAUGCAUUAUAGCUAAAUUGUUUGUAACAAUAGGAUGAGAAAAACGCAAAAUAGUGUUUUCCAAAAAUCAAAAAAAGACCAUAAAAAAAUAGUUGUUAAAAUAAAAAAAUAAUUGUUUUUCCCGUAUUCAGAAUUCAAAAAUAGAUAUGCAUGUCAAAUUUUAUAGAUAUUGGCGGAGUUGUUCCAGAAAUAUUAUGAUAUACAUACACACACAUCCAUACGGAGAUUUUCUAAAAGCAUUUGAUUUGAACUUAUAACACACCAAAAAGUAUUUUCUAGAAGUUUUGACGAAACUCAAAAUUUUACUAUUACAAAGCUUCCUCUAGGAGGAAACAAUAUGGAAUUAGAUUCUGGUGCACCAUAUAGUUUCAUAGGUAGCGAUACACUUCGUAACCUCAAACCUAAUUUUUAAUUUCAGCCAACUUCUAAGAAAUUCACGAGUUACUCGCAAAAUCGCCUUAACUGCAUCGGUACUUGCUCUGUUAAUGUUUCAUUUGGUUCUACAUCUCGUCAACUUCCGGUCUACGUAAUUCAAAGCUCUUAUGAUUCAUUAUUUGAUCGUGAAUGGAUCGCAUAAUGCAGUCACAAAAUUGAUUGGACCAAACUAUUUUCUUCAAUCAAGGAUGAUGCGCUUUCUACUCUUCCACCUACAUUAACUUGUGAUCAACAAGCCCAGUUGGAUCAACUUUUGACAAAGUACGCUAAAGUUAUCAGUGAAACAGCUAGAAAACUUACUGGACCUUCAGGUUAGGUACAUUUUAAACCUGGAACUUGUCCUGUUUUUGCUUGUGCUCAAGAUAUAGCAUAUGCGUUGCGCGACAAAUAUUCUAAAGCAGUUGACGCUAAACUUGCGUCCGGAUUUUACAAAAAAGUCAAUUUUUCCGAGUGGGCUUCGCCUACACACGUCGUUAUU